AACGGCCAUACCAUGCUGAAUAUACCGGUUCUCGUUAGAUCACCGAAGUCAAGCAUCAUUGGGCGCGGUCAGUACUUGGGUGAGUGACCACCUGGGAACACUGCUUGCCGU
This 111-nucleotide ribosomal RNA is filed under the name Caerostris extrusa. Lineage: Eukaryota; Metazoa; Arthropoda; Arachnida; Araneae; Araneidae. The record is from RNAcentral.